GAAGCAACGUGCUGGUGGCCUCCACUGAUGGAGCAGAGGGCCUACAAAGAUGUACCAGGACUAGCUCUCACAAGCCGCCAGUCUAAGGCACAACAGAGGCCUGAAAGAAUCCGACAGUUCAAGAACUGGCUCUUACAAGCAACCAUGUGGCACUGCAGACCUCUGCAAGAUUGUACCCACAAGUACUCGAUAAGGACCAGCAUAGAAUGGAGGAGUGCAAGACAAAGGAAAACGCAAUGACAAAGGUCAAAGGAAAAUGACCCCAGGACUGUGUCUGCAGACCUGGGCAGCUGCUCUGUUCCUGUACCCUUCCACUGGGAAUAAGGGCUGCAGAAAGCACAGAACCCUCUGAGAUGCAAUUUCCUUGUCCUAAGAUUGCCCCACUUACCUUACCAGUUUGUUGGGAGGAUCAAAUAAGAUAACAUAUGUGAAUUUUGUAAACCAAGAUUUGCUAGCUACUGAAAUGUAAAAAAUCUUCAGAAGAGGCACUCAGUUCAAUUAUAGAGUGUCAACUGCAAGACUCAUAUACAGGGUUGAAGCAUUUUAUUGACAUACUGAAUCCAAACUAACUUUGAACUUCAUUGAUGAAAAUAUUUAAGAUGCUCUUAUAAUGAGGCACAAAAAGAGGACUCUUUUGCAGAAUAAACCAAUCUAGAACAGUUUCCUAAGACCUCAUUUAUUGUCUUUUGAAAACCUUUUAUUAUGGAAAGUUUCAAACAUACCCAAAGGUAGAAAGAAGAGUAAGAAUGCACCCAACUUCCAUUCUUAUGAACCCAACAUUCAGCUUCAACAUGUGGUCAAUCCUGUAACUCUGGUGUUCACUCAACGUUCAGUUCAGUUCAGUUAAGUUCAGUCGCUCAGUCGUGUCCGACUCUUUGCAACCCCAUGAGUCGCAGCACGCCACACUCAACAUUAGUAACCAUUAAACUCACAUUAUAUGCCAAUAAAUUUUAAUGUUCAAA
Dama dama (fallow deer) is the source of this 962-nucleotide long non-coding RNA. RefSeq lists it as uncharacterized. The transcript is spliced from 3 exons. The record is from RefSeq and is a predicted model, not a curated record. NCBI's taxonomy places the organism in Eukaryota, Metazoa, Chordata, Mammalia, Artiodactyla, Cervidae.